This is a long non-coding RNA of Ziziphus jujuba (common jujube), 459 nucleotides long. RefSeq lists it as uncharacterized. NCBI's taxonomy places the organism in Eukaryota, Viridiplantae, Streptophyta, Magnoliopsida, Rosales, Rhamnaceae. The record is from RefSeq and is a predicted model, not a curated record. The transcript has 3 exons.
UAGCUGGGUCUAUAUAUAGUGCAGGAAGUGAAUCGGAUGUAUAUCAGAACCAUAUCUACGUGCGUAGGAGACGGUUGAAUAGGUAGGAUCUUAAAAACAUCAAAAUUCAGAUUCAUUUUCGCUUUUUUUUCAUUCACUAGUUGCACCUGAGAAUGAGGUCUUUUCGCAAUCCCAUUUAGAGCUGAUAGCUAUGCUAAUACUCCUCAGAUCGAAUUAAUCUUUCACAGGCCUAGGUAGGUUCAGGACCAAAAGACUGUCCCUAUAUAUAUUACCCAAUUCAAAGGUUGAUUGUGUUAAUUGGAUGUUAACCCCACGGUUAACUUUUUAUGUGGUAAGUUUCGAUUUUGACUUCUAUAUUAAUGUUGAAUAAAGCUUGCUGACAAAUUUCAAGCUAUAGUUUAAAAUUUAUAAUCAAAGUAGCUUUAAGAGAAUUUAGUUAAUUUACCAAAACAGUCCCAC